RNAcentral lists this transfer RNA (21 nucleotides) under Neotoma fuscipes (dusky-footed woodrat). RNAcentral's name for it is "partial tRNA-Pro". The record is from RNAcentral. Lineage: Eukaryota; Metazoa; Chordata; Mammalia; Rodentia; Cricetidae.
CAUUCUCAAUNAACUACUUCC